UUUUAUUAUCACAUUUUAACACCGUAAAAAUUUAUCACAGUGUUCCAUUACUGUGAAAACAAACUCUUUCUUUUCUUGCUGACGGUGAACUCACCUCGGGGUGUUGACCCAGACGAUGCCAAUGUGGCAGAAGAAAAUACACUCCUUGUCUUUCUGGUUCUCGCAGGAACAGCGCUUCUCUCGCCGGUGGGCCGUGUGGGGGAGCUGCUCCACGGGGCCCUCCUCCGCUGUGGGGCUCGUAACAGAGAAGGAAGAGGCUGGAAAACACAAGUGGAGUGCCAGCCAGCCAGAUCUGUCAGCUCAGCAGCUCCCUGCCAGACACUCAUCACUACCGCAUCAUCAAGAACAACCUAAUGAGGAGGAGUAACGGCGCUACUGUCCUGCUCGGCCUUGUGGUCAUUGUGGUUUCAAACAGCAGACUCAAAGGUCGUCCGACGCCAAUUAACACAAUGUUUUUCUUCUCUUUGACCUGGUUCUAAAAUCUGUAAAGCUUUGUUGCAAUGAUAACUAUAUUUUGGAGUCACAAUAAAUGCUGCAACUUUA
This is a long non-coding RNA of Micropterus dolomieu (smallmouth bass), 543 nucleotides long. RefSeq lists it as uncharacterized. NCBI's taxonomy places the organism in Eukaryota, Metazoa, Chordata, Actinopteri, Centrarchiformes, Centrarchidae. The record is from RefSeq and is a predicted model, not a curated record. The transcript has 2 exons.